AUGGAAGAAGUAACAGAGAGGGAAGAAGAGGCUGAUACACUGCACCAUGAUUCCAAUUCUAAUAAAGUUGUAUUGCCUAGUUUGGUACCUCUUGUUGGCAUGGAAUUUAGAAAUUCAGAUGAGGCUUGGGCAUUUUGGCUUACCUACAGUGGACAGAAAGGAUCUGAGGUCAGAAAAAGGUAUACAAACAAGAGGCCAACCGAUGGCAAAGUUACAUCAUGUAGAUUUGUUUGUGCAUGUAGUGGUGCUGGACAAGUUGCAGGUGUUAUAGUUUACAAGGACAAUGGAAAAGAGUCUCAAGAUUACAAGAACAAUCUCAGCUUCACUCAACUGUUGAUGGUAAUCUUGCCCAUAUAG
Molecule: ribosomal RNA, 357 nt
Filed under: Triticum aestivum (bread wheat)
Lineage: Eukaryota; Viridiplantae; Streptophyta; Magnoliopsida; Poales; Poaceae
Description: partial small subunit ribosomal RNA
Source: RNAcentral